Molecule: ribosomal RNA, 180 nt
Filed under: Colletotrichum gloeosporioides
Lineage: Eukaryota; Fungi; Ascomycota; Sordariomycetes; Glomerellales; Glomerellaceae
Description: 5.8S ribosomal RNA
Rfam family: 5.8S ribosomal RNA (bases 1-147)
About the family: 5.8S ribosomal RNA (5.8S rRNA) is a component of the large subunit of the eukaryotic ribosome. It is transcribed by RNA polymerase I as part of the 45S precursor that also contains 18S and 28S rRNA. Functionally, it is thought that 5.8S rRNA may be involved in ribosome translocation.
Source: RNAcentral
AACAACGGAUCUCUUGGUUCUGGCAUCGAUGAAGAACGCAGCGAAAUGCGAUAAGUAAUGUGAAUUGCAGAAUUCAGUGAAUCAUCGAAUCUUUGAACGCACAUUGCGCCCGCCAGCAUUCUGGCGGGCAUGCCUGUUCGAGCGUCAUUUCAACCCUCAAGCUCUGCUUGGUGUUGGGGC